RNAcentral lists this ribosomal RNA (484 nucleotides) under uncultured bacterium. RNAcentral describes it as "bacterial SSU rRNA". It matches the Rfam family "Bacterial small subunit ribosomal RNA", at positions 1 to 507 of the family's 1533-position model. The record is from RNAcentral.
AGUAGUUUGAUCAGUGGCUCAGGACGAACGCUGGCGGCGUGCUUAACACAUGCAAGUCGAACGGUAAGGCCCUUCGGGGUACACGAGUGGCGAACGGGUGAGUAACACGUGGGUGAUCUGCCCUGCACUUCGGGAUAAGCCUGGGAAACUGGGUCUAAUACCGGAUAGGACCAUGGACUUCACGGUUUGUGGUGGAAAGCUUUUGCGGUGUGGGAUGGGCCCGCGGCCUAUCAGCUUGUUGGUGGGGUAAUGGCCUACCAAGGCGACGACGGGUAGCCGGCCUGAGAGGGUGUCCGGCCACACUGGGACUGAGAUACGGCCCAGACUCCUACGGGAGGCAGCAGUGGGGAAUAUUGCACAAUGGGCGCAAGCCUGAUGCAGCGACGCCGCGUGAGGGAUGACGGCCUUCGGGUUGUAAACCUCUUUCAAUAGGGACGAAGCGCAAGUGACGGUACCUAUAGAAGAAGCACCGGCCAACUACGUG